This 465-nucleotide ribosomal RNA is filed under the name uncultured bacterium. Its description in RNAcentral is "partial 16S ribosomal RNA". It matches the Rfam family "Bacterial small subunit ribosomal RNA", at positions 28 to 507 of the family's 1533-position model. The record is from RNAcentral.
GACGAACGCUGGCGGCGUGCUUAACACAUGCAAGUCGAACGGAAAGGCCCCUUUGGGGGUACUCGAGUGGCGAACGGGUGAGUAACACGUGAGUAACCUGCCCUUGACUUCGGGAUAACUUCAGGAAACUGGGGCUAAUACCGGAUAGGAAUCCUUGCUGCAUGGUGGGGGUUGGAAAGCUUCGGCGGUUUUGGAUGGACUCGCGGCUUAUCAGCUUGUUGGUAGGGUAGUGGCUUACCAAGGCUUUGACGGGUAGCCGGCCUGAGAGGGCGACCGGCCACAUUGGGACUGAGAUACGGCCCAGACUCCUACGGGAGGCAGCAGUGGGGAAUAUUGCACAAUGGGCGGAAGCCUGAUGCAGCAACGCCGCGUGCGGGAUGACGGCCUUCGGGUUGUAAACCGCUUUCAGCAGGGGCGAAGCUUGUGGUGACGGUACCUGCAGAAGAAGCACCGGCUAACUACGUG